AACCAUAGAAACCUGCGGAGUACCUGCGGAGGGAUCAUUACAGAGUUGCAAAACUCCCUAAACCUUUGUGAACGUUACCUAAACCGUUGCUUCGGCGGGCGGCCCGGGUCCUUCCCGGCGCCCCUCGGCCCUCGCGGGCGCCCGCCGGAGGUAAACCAAACUAUUGCAUUGUAUGGCCUCUCUGAGUCUUCUGUACUGAAUAAGUCAAAACUUUUAACAACGGAUCUCAGAUCGGAAGAG
RNAcentral lists this unclassified non-coding RNA (240 nucleotides) under soil metagenome. RNAcentral describes it as "partial contains 5.8S ribosomal RNA, internal transcribed spacer 2, and large subunit ribosomal RNA". The record is from RNAcentral.